GCCUUCGGAGCUCAGUGGUUAUAGAGCACUGGUCUCGUAAACCAGGGGUCGUGAGUUCGAUCCUCACCGGGGGCU
This is a non-coding RNA of Haliotis rufescens (red abalone), 75 nucleotides long. NCBI's taxonomy places the organism in Eukaryota, Metazoa, Mollusca, Gastropoda, Lepetellida, Haliotidae. The record is from the annotation of a RefSeq genome assembly.